UACGUAGGGGGCAAGCGUUAUCCGGAUUUACUGGGUGUAAAGGGAGCGUAGACGGCAGUGCAAGUCUGAAGUGAAAGGCAAGGGCUCAACCCUUGGACUGCUUUGGAAACUGUGCUGCUGGAGUGUCGGAGAGGCAAGUGGAAUUCCUAGUGUAGCGGUGAAAUGCGUAGAUAUUAGGAGGAACACCAGUGGCGAAGGCGGCUUGCUGGACGAUGACUGACACUGAGGCUCGAAAGCGUGGGGAGCAAACAGG
This 253-nucleotide ribosomal RNA is filed under the name uncultured bacterium. Its description in RNAcentral is "partial 16S ribosomal RNA". It matches the Rfam family "Bacterial small subunit ribosomal RNA", at positions 524 to 776 of the family's 1533-position model. The record is from RNAcentral.